RNAcentral lists this ribosomal RNA (346 nucleotides) under uncultured bacterium. RNAcentral describes it as "bacterial SSU rRNA". It matches the Rfam family "Bacterial small subunit ribosomal RNA", at positions 8 to 350 of the family's 1533-position model. The record is from RNAcentral.
AGAGUUUGAUCCUGGCUCAGGAUGAACGCUAGCUACAGGCUUAACACAUGCAAGUCGAGGGGAAACGACAUCGAAAGCUUGCUUUUGAUGGGCGUCGACCGGCGCACGGGUGAGUAACGCGUAUCCAACCUGCCCACCACUUGGGGAUAACCUUGCGAAAGUAAGACUAAUACCCAAUGACGUCUCUAGAAGACAUCUGAAGGAGAUUAAAGAUUUAUCGGUGAUGGAUGGGGAUGCGUCUGAUUAGCUUGUUGGCGGGGUAACGCCACAAGGCGACGAUCAGUAGGGGUUCUGAGAGGAAGGUCCCCCANAUUGGAACUGAGACACGGUCAAACUCUACGGAGCA